AAAGUCGUAACAAGGUUUCCGUAGGUGAACCUGCGGAAGGAUCAUUAUUGAAUGAACAUGGAGUUGGUUGUCGCUGGCCCCUUUACUGGGGCAUGUGCACGCCUUCUCUAUUCAUCCACACACACCUGUGAACUUGUGAGACGGAUAGUAGUCCCUCCGGGGGCGAGGUCCGUCUGCCAUACAUAAAAUCCAGUAUAUUAAAUUUGAAUGUCAUUUGAUGUAACGCAUCUAUAAACUAAGUUUCAACAACGGAUCUCUUGGCUCUC
RNAcentral lists this unclassified non-coding RNA (266 nucleotides) under Basidiomycota sp. RNAcentral describes it as "partial contains small subunit ribosomal RNA, internal transcribed spacer 1, and 5.8S ribosomal RNA". The stretch from base 1 to 47 matches the Rfam family "Eukaryotic small subunit ribosomal RNA", at positions 1785 to 1831 of the family's 1831-position model. The record is from RNAcentral. Lineage: Eukaryota; Fungi; Basidiomycota.